GGAAUCUUAAGGCCGCGGACCAUGGAGCAGACAUAGGAACCGACAGACGCAGCCGAGUGCCGCACCUGCCCGAAGACAUACUAUCACCUGCGGUCACACGGUCUAAUAAAUAACUCCAUAGCUAAUAAUAAUUAAUGUAAUGAAACAUCUGUAGAAACUGUGCAAAUACGCAAUGUGCAAAAUGUACUGUGCAAACUAUGGCAAAUAAAGUGCAAAGUGCUGUUAA
Solea senegalensis (Senegalese sole) is the source of this 226-nucleotide long non-coding RNA. RefSeq lists it as uncharacterized. The record is from RefSeq and is a predicted model, not a curated record. Lineage: Eukaryota; Metazoa; Chordata; Actinopteri; Pleuronectiformes; Soleidae. The transcript has 2 exons.